UACGUAGGGGCCUAGCGUUGUCCGGAUUUAUUGGGCGUAAAGAGCUUGUAGGCGGUUUGUCGCGUCUGCUGUGAAAUUUCGGGGCUCAACCCCGAACUUGCAGUGGGUACGGGCAGACUAGAGUGUGGUAGGGGAGACUGGAAUUCCUGGUGUAGCGGUGAAAUGCGCAGAUAUCAGGAGGAACACCGAUGGCGAAGGCAGGUCUCUGGGCCAUAACUGACGCUGAGAAGCGAAAGCAUGGGGAGCGAACAGG
This 253-nucleotide ribosomal RNA is filed under the name uncultured bacterium. RNAcentral's name for it is "partial 16S ribosomal RNA". It matches the Rfam family "Bacterial small subunit ribosomal RNA", at positions 524 to 776 of the family's 1533-position model. The record is from RNAcentral.